RNAcentral lists this long non-coding RNA (10444 nucleotides) under Setaria italica (foxtail millet). RNAcentral's name for it is "long non-coding RNA (SITA_LNC003756)". Lineage: Eukaryota; Viridiplantae; Streptophyta; Magnoliopsida; Poales; Poaceae. The record is from RNAcentral.
UCGAACAACACGGAGAGCCGCAUGCCAUUUUAUUAAAAUUAACAAGACACAAUUGUCCACUGUCAAUAACAGGCGUGCGCUUGUUGGUCUUCCGUCCAGCCUCCAGAGUGUUGUUCCUUCUUGGGACCUCUGAGUGCACACAUACGAAGACACUUCGCUGCUGAAGCUGAGACUCGCCGGCCGCCGCCUGCUACACCGAAACCGCCAACCAUCUGUUUCCAGUUCUUCCGAAGUGCCAUCAGGAAUCAGAAGAGGGAAGGGUGGCGUGCUAGGCAAAGAAAAAUAUAGCAAUAUUACAAACAUAUAUAUGAUAUAUAUCACAUAUGCGAACAACAUUUGGGUAAAUAUAGAUCAUUUUUUCUGCUUGGAGCACGAUCACUAGAAUCAAACGCACAUAUAACUACAUGAAAACCAUAAAAACAAUAAAAUGUAACAAACUAAACUAAAACGGAUCAGUUGCUGGUCUGCUGGAAACAGCCUAGCUCCAACAAACAUCCAAAUAAAAAAUGCACUCUUGUUAAUCCCAUAACGAAACUGGUGAAUGUAGUAGUAGCACAAAAUGUAGUGGAAAGCACAGCAACAUCCAUAGAGCAAAACUAAGCUGAACACUAGUCCAUUCUCCAGAAACAAUAAUAAUCCCAGCAGCCAGCAACAACUUCGUGAGGAAAUAAUUCAUGGGAACAGGUAUAACACGGCAGGCAAAAAGAACGAUGCAUGCAUAAAUAUAUUGUCCAUUACUCCUUAUUUGUAUAUAAACUAGAGGUACUCAAACAUUAUUGUGCCCUUCACUUAAUAUACAUUGGAAAACUGCACAAUUUUUACAGCCGCUGAUCAUUUACAAUUUCAUGUAGAGAAGGUGACUCCGAGCCAUUGUAUUUACUAGGGACUGGGGUGUUCCGCCUGGACUGCCGCUUGGUUGCCACCAGGACUUGCUCUGCCUCUGGUUCACCAGCUAUCGAGAACUUCUCGUCGUCGUCAUCAACUUUGAACACCGGGUGGAUGUACGCGUUCAUCAGGUAUCCUUUCAGAUCAAAUCCUGGCUCUCUUGCACGUUCUAGGGUAUCCUUCUUCAUUGCCUCCUGUUAAAGGAAAUGGAAAAGUAUUAGUAGUUAUGUUUUAUGGUGUGACUGCCCUUUUUAAUCUAAUCAUAUUUUAAGUGAUACAUUUAUUAUAUAAUGUACAGGUUGCAUAAACAGUUGGUGCCAUCGGAUCAAUGUAAAGUAGUCAAUUCUUACAACAACACUAAUGAUAAUUCGGACACAAAUUUAAUCGGAUCACAAUUGUGCUGUCAUCGACAAAACAUGGCAGCUUUAAACAGAAUAAGGUAGUACAAUUCAUAGUCAACAUGAGUUGAAUCCUAGCUCUCCAACCACAAAGCUUCUCCUAACAAUAAGAUGGUCCUGGAAUUAUGUUUUUCCAGUCACGAUGUGUAACUAGGUAUAGUGACAGAACAUGAUAGUGCAAAUCACAGUGAACUUCCAAUGGGCACCAGCUAUAGAACUUUACUCGCCUCUGUUCCAAAUGUGGGUCGUUUUAGGAUUCUAUCCAGUCAACUUUAUUAACUUGGCCCAUAAAUAUAUAUUGACAACAUAGGUGAUGUUACUAGAUUCAUCAUAGGAAAAUACUUUCAUAAUAUAUAUUUUCACUAUUUAAAUGGUAUCCUUUUACAAAAUUGCAGAAGUGACACAUUAGAGACCAUGUCACUGUCCUAAACGACCUAAAUUUGGAAUCAGAGUAGUUGACAGUUAACACCUUCAUUUCUCAAUCGGUACUUUCCAAACUAACAAUUUGAUCCUAAAUGAGAAGAUCUGAGAACAGAAGUCAAUAAAUUUUUAAGCAACAUUUUUCAUGUUUAUUUGAAGAUCCACCAAGGACUUGUUAAUGCCAAAAGAAGCAUGAUCCCAUUCUAACAUCAAUUCAUUAUUAACUCCCAAAUUUGAAAAAGAAACAUACCUGUAACGGGCAUUUCACAAAAGUAGGUUCAUAGCGGUUCUUGCAGUACUUGUGGAAAUAAAAGGUUACAACAGGAAGAACAAGGAGCACUGGUGUUGACUGGCCAGCGCCUUUUGUGCUAAGUAAUCCAAGGAGAAGCAGUUGCGAUAUGAUCAAUGCUGUGAUUAUACGUCCAUGAACACUUGGCCAAAAUGCUGCUGCACUCUCAUAUUCUUGAUUGUACACAUUUAUUAUCUGAAACAGUGUAAAGAUUGUUGAUGAAAAUUACACAGCAUGAUCAGGACUAGUAACUCAAUCCAUAAUAAAUACAUGCAAUAUGCCAAUUAGAUGGAUACAAUAAUAUAUCUAAAUAAUCUUAUUGCCAAUGUAGCACAGCCCAAUGAGGGGCGUGAUUGCCAGAUGCAAUGGUUAAAAAAAAUCAUCUAAGAAAUCCAAGCAUCUUAGAUAUGUUUUCUUACCUGGUGGCGGUAUACAAUAUAUGCAAACCCAAAGAAUAUCAAUAUGAAAGGGAGCAAAAAUGGUGUCACCGCAGCAUAGACAAGACCAAGUAAGAAAUAGAGCUGAAUUUGAGGUUCACUUGAGUCAAAACCAAUACUUCCAGGGUCCAUUGCCUCUUCCCUAUCUUUCUCAGUCUUGACCAAGAAAAAGUUUUUCAAGUGAAAGAUUACCAGUGGCUUCAAUCUUAAUAUUUCACCAGCGACCCCAGCCCAACCAUCAACCAUUACAUAUGUUAUAAAAAAGGUUGCCUUCAUUGGAAUUGCUUCACCAACUGUCCUUGGUAUUCUGCAAAAGAGGCAAAUUAGAUACUAGGAAUAAAAGCAUACACAGUUUAACAGGAGAAAAUAUGGAAUGAAAGGGGUUCAAAUACAACCUUUUAAUAUCAAGAUGUUCAAACUAAUACCAGGUAACAAAGGAGAAUACACUGAAAAAUAGCAUGCCGAUAAAAUAAUUUCAUAACGGAGGAAAGUGAAUAUAUGAAUAGUUUUAGGGGUAUUCUCUCCAUCCAAAGUCCUUACCAUGAGCAUUAAAAGUACAAGUAUAUAUGGCAAACAUAUUAAACUGUAGAUCCUGCAGCAUCGUGCAACAUUUGUAGUACAGGCAUAUCCAACAUACCCAGUCAAACAUACCAUAAUUUUGCUGUCACAGCUCCGGAAAGAUACUUUCACCUAUGUGCUAUGUCCAAAGGCAAACACAUUGUUUUAAUAGCUACUUCAGGUAAGGGUUGACCACUGUUUCAUAUGUUAUUGAUGAACACAUAUUUCUAGCUUAAGCACAAUUAUUUCAAUAGUACGAUCAUUUCAUCAAGCCAAACUGUAAAUGAUGAAUUUUUUGUCAACAUGUAAUUACUCUCUCCAUUCCUUCUUUUUUUUGUAAGGCACUCACAACCCAAGAUUCAAACUAUAUACAAAUUUGGCAUCAUUAGAUUCAUAUUUGAAAAUAUUUUUAUAUGAUGUAAAUUCCAUGGUUAUGAACAAUAUAAUGUAGAGUUACUAAUGGUCAGAGUGUGGUGUUGGAGACCGCACUGGGUCAAACCACGCCUUACAAAAAGAAAAGGAGGGAGUAUGUUAUUGCAUCUAUAUCAGUACAUACAAAGACGACAAUGAUAAAUGGUGCAGCAUAAAGGAUUAACAAUAUGAGAAGGACAUACUCAUUUGCUGAUUGAUGUAUAUAGGUUUUUAGCUGCUCUAAAGCAGAUCCUGCAAUAAUGCUUGCCAGAAACACAUUGAAGAAUAUGAAGAUAUAGUAUUUGGAUGCAGAUCUUCUCUCCAGUGAAGAUAUUGAUGUCAAUCCUUCAACCUUAGACAUAAACAUUAAUAUGCUUGGGAGUAAUAUAAGGAAGAUCUUCAGAGCAAUUCCAGGAAGGAAACCUUGGAUGAAUGAUUUAAUAGUAGGUCUGAGAAAAAACAGUUGAAGUAAAAGGUUUAAGAGAUCAGGAAAAUGCCCACAUAACAAUGCACAAGAAAUAGAGGAAUGGGUAUACAAAUUUGGUACUGAAAAUUAACUUUAUGCCAGUAAUAUAUAUAUAUUCCUGUUAAAUCAAUUAGUCAGUUAGAUGACAAUGUAUGCAGCAGCAGUGACCUAAAUGGCACACCUAAAUAAGUUUGGGAUGUCAUGUCAUUUUUUGGUUUCACUUAACUCAUGGUUGGAACUUGAAAAAAGUGGCAUAAAUAAGUUCAGAAACUAUCAACCUUUAAACUGACCUUUUCAGAUUUAAGUGGCAUACACAAGUUAUGAAUAGUAAAAGCACACGUGUAAACGCUUAAGUGAUAGCUUGGAUUUCCUUAUAGUGUGAGCAAAAUAUCUUGUCACCAUGGCAACAACGGAAACUAAUACAAACACGUUGUGAUGGGAAUUCAAGUACUCGGCACAUGAAUAUAAAACAUCACAACAAACCCGCACCAGAACUGUACACCUCAGCAUAGCUACAGGAGCAGAGCAAAGUAUCCCAUGGUUCCUGGGCUAACCACAUUUACAUGCCACACUAUUUUCAUUUGGUAAUAGAAACUAGCUGUUUAAUUGGAUCAGUCUGUCUUUUUUUUCCCCAUGUACAGUUCUCAAAUGUUUUUGAUAAGAAAAAAACUGCUCUAUACAGUGUGUACUUCAAAAUGUAGGUUUAACAUUGGACAUUGAUUGUUACAUCAUUUUGCAACAGUUCUUAUUCUCAAACCAGUGCAGUCAUAUUUGCCAUCAUCCAUAGCAGAGUUAUGAUCAGCUUCUCUAGUACAAUUAAUUAUCGCAGUGCUGUUUUUUUCCCUUUUUAACAAAAGGUCACUCUAUGUAAGAUAGUGAACAUAGAGCUAUGACAUAUUUAUAUAGAUCCAACACAAUGGAAGUUUAAAACCAAUGGCAUACUACUACAGUAGGACUGAAAACAAAACAUUUGUGGAGAAGCAAUAGCAAUUAGACGUACAUUUCAAUGAGAGGCUUCAGAAAUGGAACUGCCUUCUCGAUCCCUUCAAGAUUUGCAAGAGACUGAACAAAUGCUAUUGGGAUCACAUAAAAGAAGUUCAGGAAGAAGAAUGCCACUGCCACAAUCAACCUUCGAAUUGUAAGGGAGACAAAUGGAAUAGACAAAUUAUCCCAGUACACAUCGCGAGGUUCUGGAGCCCAUUCAGUCAACCAAACAGUUGGAUUACUGGUUUGUUGUGUCUGAGCACAAACUGCCGCACCCCAACGUGAUCGGAAGGAAACAAAUGCUGCUGGGACGACUGAUUUAGGAUCCUUUACAAUCUUUUCACGCUCUUCUGCUUCCUAAAUAUCAUUUACACGAGGUGGUAAAUCUGACAGUUUGUGAAAGUUAUCAUUGUUUUAAAAGAAAAGGAACUGUAACAUUGUGGAAUACAAAUAUAUAACUGAUAGUCCUAUCAAAAUUUGAUUUUCCAUUGCAUGCAAAAUACCUACCUUAAAAAAUACCACUUCAGUAGCACAUUUCGUGUCACUAAAAAACCUAAGACUCUACUUAAGAGAAAAAGAUAUGCACAGCCAACUAUACUUAUCUGAAUGAGCGUUUGAAAUAUAGGAGGAAGUCCAUGUUUGACCUCUAACUAUCACUAGAGACCAAUUUUGGCCCUCAGACUCCAAGACCGAAUAUCUUCGGCACCCCAACUGUCAAAACUGUUUAUUUUUCACCCAUUGCCGGUUUCAAAGGUGGUUUUGCCUGGUUUUGCGUCACCUGCCAUGCUGUCUAUCAUCGCCACAUCAGCACCAUUUCCUCCUUUUCUUCCACCCCUUUCUCUCCCGUGGUUGAGAGAUGUUGCUCUCAUUCGUCGAUGGACUAGAGAACUACCCUGCUGUACCUCGAUUAUGAUGUGGGCCCUCACACACCGCCUUGCUCCACUGUGUUACAGCGAGCACCCACCCGGCAUCCGAUGUCAGGCCUGCCCAAGCUGAGUUGCCGGUAAGCUACCUAGGAGCAUGCAGAAGCUCAUGUGCCAUGUCUGUGCACGUCCAGGCAGUGCAUCAAGCACGGCAGUGGGCAGCAGCGGCUGGCUUCUGGCAGAAGGAAGUGAGGUAGUUAUGAGUGGUCAGCAGGAAGAAAUGAGACCUGGUUUUUCUUUAAUUAUUGAAAAAGGUGGCAUUUGGUUAACCAUGUAAAUACCAUGCAAGAUGACAUGGUGCAAAACCGGGAAAAAAACACCUUUCCCACCAAGGGUGCAAAGCAAACUGUCUUGACACAGUUAAGAGUGCCAAAGAUACCCGGUUUUGGAGUUGGGAGGACUAAAAUCAGACUUCGGCGACAGUUGGAUGGUGAAAAAUGACUUCUUUCAUAGUGUGUAUUUGAUACACACCAUCAAUACCAAAGGGUUUACGACCUGACUCCAUCAAACCAAAUUGUAAACAUCUAUUUUUUUGCCGGCACAAUUAUAACUCAAGAUGAAUAUUGUUCAUUAAAAGAUGAGCCCUCAGCAGAUGGUGUGACUCACUUCAUUUUCUAUCCUCUCAAUUUCUGAUUUGUAGUAUUCAAUAGCAUCCACCUUGGUACCAAAACAACCAAGAAAACCAGUCUGCAGCAGAGGAGAGUAAUGCAAAGAAUUAGAAUGAAAAUAAAAAGGUUCCUAUUUUGAUUGAAAGAGAAUAUAUGAAAGAGAAGUAGGAUAUGGUUUAUUUUUGUGGAAUAACCUUAGUGGUAGGCCUCUGAGAUGCAUUUCUUUCAAACUUCAGCAGAUAGAAGUCAAGCCAAUUCUGCAUCUUUGUCUUCUCUUUCACCAAUUUAGCAAGCUUAUUUGCAUUGUAAACAACCUAAAAAAAAGUGAAUGCAGUGAAAUCUUUCAUAACAUGGCUUGUUCUGUUUUACGGAAUAAGAAAAAUUCAAAAUACCACUUAAACUUUAUGUCACAAGGAAUCAAAUAACAUUCCAUCUUAAUUGGAAUCAAAUGUAAGAAAUUUAAGUGAAGCAAACAUGGAAUCACCAAACCAUAUUACCCAGGAAGAUGGUACACCGGAGAAUCAAUAUAUAUAAAUUGGAAGAAGAAAAUAAGGAUCAUAAUAUGGAUAUUAAUGUAAGAUGUAAUGAUUACCUGGUGCGUCAGAUAGUGAUCAGGAUGAUUCACAAGAAAGAAAUGUUCGACAAGCUCACCAAUUGAUUCAUCUGGAUCAGGCGGUAUAUUCCGCACAAGGACCUGAAACACUAACAUUAGUUAAUUACAUUAUACAAGUAAUAAUCAAAACAACAGAAUCCAGUUGAUAUUUUUUAAGAACAAAGGAAAUAAGCUCACAUCUCAAAAUCUAUGUGAACUGAAGUAACAUUGAAUAUCAAGUUUAAUUCAGUUAAGCAUCUGAAUAUCAUUGUGCUCAUGGCAUAAUUCAAUCAAUUGAUAUAAAUCUUGUCUGUACUUCGCCUUAAUCUUAUGUGGCCAUGUGGGAGAUUGCUGAAAUAUCAUUUUCUCUGCAAACCUGCUCACAAUUGAUAUACAACCCAUCACUAAUGUAUUACAAACAGUAUGAUGUACAUCUUUCUAGCCCUUAUACUACCUUAUAAUCCCACCCCCCACCCCCACCCAUUUUCUCUGCGGUUGAGGAAUACCCAGCCAAUAUUAAGUGGAGAGAGUACUGAAGCACACAAUUUUUAACUAUCAUGCUGAUUGGUUAAACACGCAAACACACAAUGAACUGCAUUCUGUCUAUUCAGUUGAAAUAGAUAAAAAGGAACACAACAGGUUCACAGAGACAUACCGUGAACUGGUCUGGCCUGCGUUUCUCUGAUGCAAGAAAACGCAGUCUCAUUUGUGCAACAAUUUCAUACUCACGUAAUAGUACAUAGCAGGUCCAAAAUGUGAAAACAUAAGCCAUAGUCAAGUGGGCUAUAAACCUUCACAAAGAGAACUGAGUCAGGACUCCUGAGCAGUCAGUGUGAACUCAAAACUACAAUCCCUAAUUUGAAUGACAAGGUGUACCAUGAAAUGUAAACAUUGAAAGUACUUUUAGCAUCCAAACCCCUUUCUCUAAAUCUAAUGCUUGAGCUUCAAUUAUUUUUAUGCGCAAAGUUGUCUUGUUUGUUCCACAUUAUGAACUUUGGCUCCUAAGUUGGCAAUUACUCUUUCACAAGCCGCACCUUCUAUCUCAGUUAACCCCAAAGUCUAUGUUGUAAAACUCUGGUUGGUUUAACUAUCAAAUAAUGCAUACAGCAUGCAAAAAUAAUUAGCCUUUGUAGCCAACACUUCCCCCAAAGAAUCGUGGUGUCAUAACAUGAGCUUCAUACACAAAUCAUCAAGUGCUAACCUUUUUGAUCCAACAGGUAUGUUUGAUAUCGAAAGAUUAUCAACGUCGCUGUGAUGGACCUUCGAGAAUUCCAGAGCAUCAUUGGUCCAGUUAACAGGGACAAGAACAGCGAAUGCUAGAAUUGUGAUUGGAACAAAUAUUUUAAGCCUGCAACGAUCGAAACAAGUAAAUAAGUAAAAGCUAAGUAAAAAAGGAGAUGGGCAGCAAUGUGAACAAUAGAAACAUAAAGCAAGUGGGAACAGCAAACGUUUUGAUUCAAUAGAAACAUAUCGAAUUGGGUGCAUUCCCUUUUCUUUUCUCCAGAAGGAAUCCUGGAGACUAGAUAUCCAAUUGGCAAAUUAGUAGUCUAAUAUAGAGUAGUUGGCAUAACCAAACAGAGCAAAGACCUAGCCCUGAAUUAGCCAACAUAGCUAGCAACAAAGCUGGUAGCACCAGUUCAUUCCUUUUGCGAAGCCUUUCAAAUGUAUUUUUAGUAUUGCAGAUUAAUACAAUAAUUAGCGACAUUAUGAUGUCGAUUGACCAUUUGUAAACCAAAAGGAUGCUCUAUUUACAAAUAUGUCUAGGCUGUCAGAAACCUCCUUUGACAGAAACUAGUAGUCAGUAAUGUCCUAUCUCAGGUGCAACUGGAGAGAGAAACUGAUAUGACAAACAAAAGCAUUAAAAUAUGACCACAGUAUAUCGAAUACAAAUCACGUACCCAACUAAGUAAAUCCGCAGAUAGACAGCUGAAUCAAGCCCUGCAUGGCUGAUCAACUCAUCCUCGGGCAUUUUGAGAGCAGCGGGCAUCCAACUUAAGAACUUCAAGUACGACCGCAUGUCCAAAUUGACAAAUUUCCGAACAAAUGUACCCCCAUGACUUGGGCUCUCUCUUGCACCUUUGAGGUACCAUUUUGGGAAGUAAACCCUAUCAUUGAUUGGCUGCAGUCGUAGGAAAGCAAAUGCUAACAGGAAUAUUAUGGCGCCCAGUAUGUUGAUAGCCGCAGAGAGGCCUAUAUCUUUAAUAGUAGCCAUAGUUGUCCUUUAAAUAGCUUGGGAAAUUCCUAUAGGAUUUAUCUGCAAGAUGUAAGGAAGAACACAAUCAUCAACCACUAGAUAGUAUGAUGUCACGAGAACACACUUGUAAACAAAACCAAAUAUGAGAAGUGGUGAAUGAUGAGGUUAUAGAGAACAUGGCCUAUCAAAGGACAAACACUUCACAUAGGGCGACUUAGUGUAAGUUGCCAAAGAGUAACACAAAAUCACUCUGAAACGCACAAAACAACACAAAUCUGGUUUGUCUAGUUUGUAGUUAGGCAUUGGACAUUGGUGAACCCUUUGUAAGUAACUACAAUGAAUUGAACUAUUCGCAAACGGUUUUGAACUUUUUGAGCACAAAGAAUGUUGGCAGAAACCACAAACAAAAAAAUUUAUAUAUAUAUAUGUUCCAUUAUACUAUAUGCAACUUAUAAAUUUAUGUGUUAUGAGUCAUUCCUAGAUAUAUGAAGUACUGGGCCAAUUUUGACUUAUCAGCACAAAAACAAGUCAACCAGUGAACAGAAGUAAAAGAUAGGCAUAACUAAGCCUUAAAAACAUUUUGAUUCGUAGUUGAACAACUGUGAUUCUAAGUUUCACAUGAUAAAGCAAGUUUUAACUCUGGGUUGCGGACGGCACUUCUACCUGACCCAAAACAAAAUGGUUUGUACCAGAGAGGCAGGAAAUGAAGCCAAGAUUGUGAUCUGUAGCUAGUGUAAGCCAACCCUGACUCCUGAUCCUUUCCUAUAGUCUAUGAGAUAUUCAAUGGAUAAGUAACAAACUUCGUGCUGUGACGUGUCAACAUCAAACUCAAAAGAUACUAGCUGAGCAGCAACAGCACUAGAUCACUACUUAUCGCAGGUGGGGGAUCUAAUAUUUAAAAUCUAUUUAGCAGAAGAAAUUGGUCGAUUUUAAGGAGACAUCCAGGCUCCGAAAUUGCAAAACUAAAACCGCACUGCCAUCACUUGGAUUAUUGGACUCCUAAUUGGAUUAUUUGCCCACGUAUACAAAUAGUAACAAUAAACCUCCCGGGUUUUUAGUGCGGAAUUUAAGGCGUGAGCCCGUGACAGCUCAAAAGCUCAUAAAACUUUGCAUAAAUUCGUUCUCCCAGGAAACGUCCGCGUGAAGCGUUAAGCCAUCCUGGAAUGUUGAAGCGGCGCCAUCGCCAAGAAAGGUUAUACCCGGCAAAUCUUUAAAGGUGGCAUUAGGCAGGCCAAGUUGUCGACUUUAAUUAAGUUGUCAGCUCAAGUGGAAAAGGCGC